This is a non-coding RNA of Rattus norvegicus (Norway rat), 292 nucleotides long. Lineage: Eukaryota; Metazoa; Chordata; Mammalia; Rodentia; Muridae. The record is from RefSeq and is a predicted model, not a curated record.
UUCAAACAAUUACAUAUUCCUUUCUCUAGGACUCACCUUCUAAUGGUCCAGUAAUUCACACUGAUGCCUCACUCACUCAGAUGGGCAACUAGACUCUAGCAAAUGGGACUUUGGGAAAAUUUAAUUGUGAAAUGAUAACAGCAAAUGAUGAAAUUGUUUCUUUAUGCCUGGAAAAUCUUCUCAAUUCAGGAGACUUGCUUGAAGAAUCAAGAUUCGGCCUUCUUCUGAGAGCAAGGACAAACAUUGUUAUAUAUUUGUUUUCUAAAGUCCAAAUACUCUUUCUAUAAAGAAA